GGACGCCGAAGGUGGGGCUAAUGACUGGGGUGAAGUCGUAACAAGGUAGCCGUACCGGAAGGUGCGGCUGGAUCACCUCCUAACAGGGAGACAACAAAAUGUUUAAUAUUAUUAUUUUGUCACCUUAGGUCGAUCGGUAUCUCACGUUUUUAAUUUAUUAAGAAUUUCAUUUCCUAAGUUUUUCUAGGUCACACCCAUUAUUUUUCCUGGGCCAUUAGCUCAGGUGGUUAGAGCGCACCCCUGAUAAGGGUGAGGUCCCUGGUUCAAGUCCAGGAUGGCCCAUAUCUCUAUGUUGGGGGUAUAGCUCAGUUGGUAGAGCGCCUGCUUUGCAAGCAGGAUGUCAGCGGUUCGAGUCCGCUUACCUCCACUGAUUACCACCUCUUCCAUAACCGGUAGUAAGGGAAUUUUUUGAGUUGUGAUCAAAUUCUGAAAGAAUCUAGCUUCCUAAUGAAAUCAUUAAGAUGCUGGACUCAUUGAAUUAAUUUCAUUGUUUUCAGAGAACCUUGACAACUGCAUAGAUUAUUUUUAAAGACAAUAAGCAUCUUUUAAUGAUGCAGAUUUAUUAUUUGUGCGAAUGCAUUAAUAACAAUUCUAUUAAGCUGAUGCUUCAAUUUUUGAAGUUAUUGGUCAAGCUACAAAGGGCUCACGGAGGA
This 653-nucleotide unclassified non-coding RNA is filed under the name uncultured Prochlorococcus sp. Its description in RNAcentral is "partial may contain 16S ribosomal RNA, 16S-23S ribosomal RNA intergenic spacer, and 23S ribosomal RNA". The stretch from base 295 to 367 matches the Rfam family "tRNA". Lineage: Bacteria; Bacillati; Cyanobacteriota; Cyanophyceae; Synechococcales; Prochlorococcaceae. The record is from RNAcentral.